UCCGGUGACGAUAUCGGAGGGGCCCCACCCGUUCCCAUCCCGAACACGGUCGUUAAGCCCUCCAGAGCCGAUGGUACUGCACUGUUUCAGUGUGGGAGAGUAGGUCGCUGCCGGAG
RNAcentral lists this ribosomal RNA (116 nucleotides) under bacterium. The record is from RNAcentral.